UCCAAAAGAAAAGCAAAUGCACUGAACCAAAAUUCCCACUACCCAAAAGCGAAUUGUUUGUUGAACCCACAUUGCUAUAAGUUGCAUUUUGUUGAUCUGGCAGCUUCAACAUGCACUUUAUCGCUGUUUCCAUGUUUCAGAGUAAGAUUGACAAUGUGGGUCAUUAUAGUGGAGCACUUAAUCUCUUGUACUAGAUUCCCUUCUAAGUUUGGUGUUUACAACCCAAAAUCACAGAUUUACUGGAUUUGGGGUCAAUCCAAUGUCUGCCAGAGCUCAGAGAGAGAGCUUUGGUAGAUCACAGUUGCAGCUUGCAUUACCAUUCCGCUUAUAAAUAGCUGACAGAAGUCUCUGGAUCAUCACACCUCUGCUUAUUUACUAGCUUCCUCUUGCUCCCUCUGUUUAUACUUCCUCACAGUCUCAUUCUGUUUUCCUUUUCCUUCCGUUUGUUUUCCUUGUGUGGACCGAUCCACUUGAAUCACCAAACCUUCCCUUCUUCCCAAUCUUAUUCUCUCUCCAUAUUUCAGAUCCGAUCCUGUGCACCGAUGCGUUAAAUCUCCUCUUUUGUUCGUCUGAAGUCAACAACGCAUGCGCCACCUUCGAUGAGCGUUGCUUUAAGCGGUUACCUGCUAGUGCACACGGGGUUCUACCCCUUCGUGCAACAAAGAUUGGCAACCGGCCGCCUUUUGGUUGCUGCCUUUGUGGAUCUGUAUGGUUUUCCUUUUCUUCAGUUCUUCUUGGGUGCGGCUGUGUAUUUGGAAUUGGAGAAUUGUGUUUCUGUGUUCCCAAGCACUUUGGUUUGGUCGAUCUGCUGUGGUUCAUCCUGCUGCAAUUCCUUGUGGCUGCGAUUCCUCAACGGCAUAUGGUGGCUUAGGCAUCAAAUAGAGAAAGAGAUUUAUGCAUGAAUUUUGGCUUUAUAGGGAAGUGGUUAUGUACUUGUGGAGUUUUGUUGUUAACUUCUGGAAGAAUAACCAUUUCCUUAAUUCGUUUCUUGCUCAUGUUGUCUUGUUGUGGUUUUUGACAUUUUACUUGAUUAUUUUAUAUUUAGUAACCUCGCCGUAUUAUUCACCUGAAACAUUAUUCUUCUGCGUGCAGAGACAUGUUUAAGUGCCUUUCAGGAUCCACUUGAUCCAAGCACUGCCUUGGGAGGAUUCUCUGGUAACAAAUAUUCUGAGGCUUCAGCAUUCGUAGUCACCUACCCAGUUAAUAAUGCAGUUGAUGAUGUAGGAAAUGAGAAUGGGAAGGCACUGGCUUGGGAGAAGGCUUUUAUUCAGUUAGAAAAGGAUGAACUGCUGCCAAUGGUGCUGUCUCGGAAUCUGAGUCUCUCAUUUUCGGCCGAAAGCUCAACUGAGGAAGAAUUAAAAAGAGAAAGUACUGCAGAUGUUAUGACCAUAAUAGUAAGCUAUCUGGUAAUGUUCCUGUAUAUAUCUCUGACAUAGGGAGAUGCACCUCAAAUAUCUUCUUUUUACCUCUCGUCCAAGGUCCUGCUUGGUUUGUCAGGAGUAUUGCUUGUAAUGCUUUCUGUUCUUGGAUCUGUUGGAUUUUUCAGUGCUGUGAGAGUUAAAUCUACAUUAAUCAUAAUGGAAGUCAUUCCUUGCCUUGUUUUGGCUGUUGGUGUAGAUAACAUGUGUAUAUUGGUACAUGCAAUCACCGGAGUUACCUUUAGAAUGACGAGUAAGUAAUGCACUGGUUGAAGUUGGUCCAUCCAUAACACACUGACUAGUUUGUCUGAGGUUUUGGCAUUUGCAGUGGGAAGCUUCAUUCCUAUGCCAGCAUGCCGAGUCUUCUCCAUGAUUGCAGCCCUUGCUGUUUUGAUGGACUUCUUUCUGCAAGUCACUGCAUUUGUUGCGUUGAUAUACUUUGACCUUUUGAGAGCUGAGGAUGGCAGGUUUGAUUGUUUUCCAUGCAUAAAAGUCUCGUCAUCUUUUGUGGAAUCCACUGAAGGUAUAUUUGUGUGCUAUGAUAGUGUGUUGAGGUUGCUUUGCCUUUAGUAUACUUUUGAUCUUAAUUUUUCUACUCUUUCAAGUCACACACUAUUCUCAAAAGAAAAAAAAGUCACACGCCCACAUUUUUUUCCCUUCUCCUUUGUCACAUUAGUAUUAGUUCUAAUGAAGUCAUCAUCCCACUCCUCGACUAUACCCCACAAGUACAAUAUCUUCUAGUUUGUAUAAACUUGAUAUGACACCUGGUGAGAUUUCUUGAAGUGACCAACAUUCUGCCAAAUCUGGCAACUUUAGAUUGCACAAGUUUUUGAAUUCCUCAAGUACACGCUCUAUGCGAGAUUCACAUAGGUGGAGUAUCGUGAGUGUCCGUAGCUCCCCAGUCAUAGACAUUGUUUUCGAUCCGAGUUCUAAACCCCUUAGACGCAAUGUUUGAAUGUUUCUCAUAAGUAGCGGAAGUGUCCCCAGUAUGUUUUACACCAAGUAUAAUAAAGAACUGAGAUGUCUAAAACCUUAAGAUCUUUCACUCCAUUCAAUGUGCUUAGCGUGUCCACAUCGGACGUCUCUUCAUCAUUUGCGCGUGACAACAACCAAAACUCAUGAGUACUUUUAUUGGUUGUCAGUGAAGUAUAUAUGUAUACACCAUUGUAAUAGCAAUAGCAAGAACCAUGUUGAAUUUUUCUCAAUGUCUAUCAACUGGCAUAUAUUAAAUAAAUGCCCAUCAUCACUAUAUGUGAGGCAUCACCAUCAAUGCCAUCAUCAUAUUAACACUCACCAAGCAAAGCUAAAACCCCAAGCAGCAGGGGCGGAUGCAGAUACAAAGAUGAUUGGGCUCAAGCCUCACUGAGGUUUUUGGGCUUAGGUAUAUACAUCUGUUUUUUUUUAAAGUCUCUAUCCCUUUCUCAAGCCGCACCGUCGUUUCUUCUCUUCUUCUUCUCCUCUUCGUCUCCAAGCUCUAGGCCUCCAGCAGAAAACUAAAACUCCAAGUAUCUCUCUCUUCCUCUACGCUUAUAGAAAACUAAUAUUUUGUUCUGAAUUCUGAUCACGAAUUUAUAUUCCAAUUUUUUUUUUUGGAAGUUUCUGAUCUUCAAUGUGUCUUUGAGGUCAACUUCGGAACUUCGCAUUGGUGCAGAAAAUUGUUGAGUUAUUCUUCUUCUUUAGUUCUUCGGCUCUUGAUGGCUUGAUCAGUUGACUCCACCGAAAUACAGAAUCACCGAUGCUAAAGAGGUAUUCAGAUAACCAAUUCAUAAAACCCAAAUUGAAAUUGUUAAAGCUAAUUAGCUAAAUCCUUUUUGAUUUUUGGGUACUGGGAUUUUUUUGGUAUCUGAAAUUGGGUGUGUAACGUGAAUUUGUGGGUUUGCUGAAUUUGUGUGCAAGUGUAAACGUGAAUUUGAUUUCUAGGUUGGGUUUGCUGAAUUUGUCUGCGAAUUUGAAUUUGUGCAUGGGUUUGCUGAAUCUAAGCUCUUAUGAUAUGUCUCCUACCAUUUCUCCAAGAGUUAGGGUCUCCAUCAUCCUCGACAUCAAUGAAGUAGUGGAGUUGUUUAAGAAAGAGAUAUAAGCAACUAGCAGAAGAUGAAUGCGUGAUUUGUGGUGGUGCAAUAUGAGCUUUGUCCUAAUUAUCAAAUAUCCCUCUCUAAAAAGCACAAAGUUUUCUGACCAGCAAACCGAAAAGACAGCAUAAUGUUUGUUUCUGACCCUGACUCUUGGAAAAGUUGUAGGAGACAUAUCAUAAGAGAGCUUAGAUUCAGCAAACCUCUUUAACAUCGGUAUUUCGGUGGAGUCAACUGAUCAAGCCAACAAGGGCUGAAGAAGAAGAAGAAUAACUCAACAAUUUUCUGCACCCCAAUAAAUUAUAAUGGUGUAUACAUUUGUACUUCACUGACAGCCAAUAAAAGUACCCAUGAGCUUCUGUUGUUGUCACGCGCAAAUGAUGAAGAGAGGUCUGAUGUGGACACACUAGUUACAUUGAAUGGAGUGGAAGAUCUUAAGGUCUUAGACCGCUCAGUUCUUUAUGAUACUUGUGUAAAACAUAAUUGGGAUCACUUCUGCUACUUAUAAGAAACAAUCAAACACUGUGUCUAAGGGGUUUAGAACUCGGAUCGGAAACAAUGUCUAUGACUAGGGAGCUACGGACACUCACGAUACUCCACCUAUGUAGAUCUCUCAUAGAGCGUGUACCUGAGCAAUUCAAAUACUUGUGCAAUCUAAAGUUGUUAGAUUUGGCAGAAUGUUGGUCACUUCAAGAAAUCUUACCAGGUGUCGUAUCGAGUUUAUCCAAACUAAAAUAAUUAUACUUGUGGGGUAUAGUCUGUUGGUAUUUUAAAAGAUUUUAAAAUAUUUAAUUUGAUUUUCGAUUUUCAAUUUGUAA
RNA transcript from Rosa chinensis, 4305 nucleotides. It is a transcript of the gene named NPC intracellular cholesterol transporter 1 homolog 1b, with no coding region annotated. The record is from RefSeq and is a predicted model, not a curated record. The transcript is spliced from 7 exons. NCBI's taxonomy places the organism in Eukaryota, Viridiplantae, Streptophyta, Magnoliopsida, Rosales, Rosaceae.